Molecule: microRNA precursor, 99 nt
Filed under: Glycine max (soybean)
Lineage: Eukaryota; Viridiplantae; Streptophyta; Magnoliopsida; Fabales; Fabaceae
Description: miR10407a stem-loop (gma-MIR10407a)
Source: miRBase by way of RNAcentral
UUAUUUUUGUGACAUUUUCAUCCCUCUGUGCCACAUGGGUUCUUUAAUUAACGACAAUGGAUGAAAGUUAACGGAUGAAUGAAUUUGUCACAUUUUUUU